This is a non-coding RNA of Phrynosoma platyrhinos (Desert horned lizard), 71 nucleotides long. The record is from the annotation of a GenBank genome assembly. Lineage: Eukaryota; Metazoa; Chordata; Lepidosauria; Squamata; Phrynosomatidae.
GCCAGCAUGGUGCAGUGGUCUGAGCACUAGAUAAUGACUCUGGAGACCAGGGUUCAAAUCCCUGCUUGGCC